RNAcentral lists this unclassified non-coding RNA (231 nucleotides) under uncultured fungus. RNAcentral describes it as "sequence contains ITS1". Lineage: Eukaryota; Fungi. The record is from RNAcentral.
GUAUUGUAUUGCGUUAAACGCUGCAUACAUUCCACAAGACUUCAUUGAUGUGUGUGUGUAAAGAGGUAGGACUACGGAAGGAAGGCAGGGCCUCCCAAACCACAGAACUACAGGGGUGCACAGGUGUGAGUGGAUGUGUAAACAGAGCGUGCACAUGCCCCCGUUUGAGGACCAGCAACAACUCGUGUUGACAAUUUGGUAAUGAUCCUUCCGCAGGUUCACCUACGGAAA